Molecule: ribosomal RNA, 468 nt
Filed under: uncultured bacterium
Lineage: Bacteria
Description: partial 16S ribosomal RNA
Rfam family: Bacterial small subunit ribosomal RNA
Source: RNAcentral
GACGAACGCUGGCGGCGUGCUUAACACAUGCAACUAGAACGGAAAAGAACUGCAUUAGAGGGAUGCAAGAGUGAAGAACGGAUGAGUAACAAAUGAAACACCUGAACUUGACUUUAGGAUAACUUCACGAAACUGGGGCUAAUACCGGAUAGGAGCUCCUGCUGCAUGGUGGGGGUUGGAAAGUUUCGGCGGUUGGGGAUGGACUCGCGGCUUAUCAGCUUGUUGGUGGGGUAGUGGCUUACCAAGGCUUUGACGGGUAGCCGGCCUGAGAGGGUGACCGGCCACAUUGGGACUGAGAUACGGCCCAGACUCCUACGGGAGGCAGCAGUGGGGAAUAUUGCACAAUGGGCGGAAGCCUGAUGCAGCAACGCCGCGUGCGGGAUGACGGCCUUCGGGUUGUUAACCGCUUUCGCCUGUGACGAAGCGUGAGUGACGGUAAUGGGUAAAGAAGCACCGGCUAACUACGUG